RNAcentral lists this ribosomal RNA (253 nucleotides) under uncultured bacterium. RNAcentral's name for it is "partial 16S ribosomal RNA". It matches the Rfam family "Bacterial small subunit ribosomal RNA", at positions 524 to 776 of the family's 1533-position model. The record is from RNAcentral.
UACGGAGGGUGCAAGCGUUGUCCGGAUUUAUUGGGUUUAAAGGGUGCGUAGGUGGUUUUUUAAGUCUGGUUUGAAAGCUGGUCGCUUAACGAUCAGAUGUGGCUGGAAACUGGAAGACUUGAAUGGGUUGGCGGCUGCCGGAACGGGUCAUGUAGCGGUGAAAUGCAUAGAUAUGACCCAGAACACCGAUUGCGAAGGCAGGCAGCUACGACCCGAUUGACACUGAGGCACGAGAGCAUGGGGAGCGAACAGG